Molecule: ribosomal RNA, 497 nt
Filed under: uncultured bacterium
Lineage: Bacteria
Description: partial 16S ribosomal RNA
Rfam family: Bacterial small subunit ribosomal RNA
Source: RNAcentral
GAUGAACGCUGGCGGCGUGCCCAGUACAUGCAAGUCGAGCGAACAGACGAGGAGCUUGCUCCUCUGACGUUAGCGGCGGACGGGUGAGUAACACGUGGAUAACCUACCUAUAAGACUGGGAUAACUUCGGGAAACCGGAGCUAAUACCGGAUAAUAUAUUGAACCGCAUGGUUCAAUAGUGAAAGACGGUUUUGCUGUCACUUAUAGAUGGAUCCGCGCCGCAUUAGCUAGUUGGUAAGGUAACGGCUUACCAAGGCGACGAUGCGUAGCCGACCUGAGAGGGUGAUCGGCCACACUGGAACUGAGACACGGUCCAGACUCCUACGGGAGGCAGCAGUAGGGAAUCUUCCGCAAUGGGCGAAAGCCUGACGGAGCAACGCCGCGUGAGUGAUGAAGGUCUUCGGAUCGUAAAACUCUGUUAUUAGGGAAGAACAAAUGUGUAAGUAACUAUGCACGUCUUGACGGUACCUAAUCAGAAAGCCACGGCUAACUACGUG